GACGAACGCUGGCGGCGUGCUUAACACAUGCAAGUCGAACGAUGAAGCCUAGCUUGCUAGGUGGAUUAGUGGCGAACGGGUGAGUAAUACGUGAGUAACCUACCUUUAACUCUGGGAUAAGCCCGGGAAACUGGGUCUAAUACCGGAUACGACCAAUCUCCGCAUGGGGUGUUGGUGGAAAGCGUUAUGUAGUGGUUAUAGAUGGGCUCACGGCCUAUCAGCUUGUUGGUGAGGUAACGGCUCACCAAGGCGACGACGGGUAGCCGGCCUGAGAGGGUGACCGGCCACACUGGGACUGAGACACGGCCCAGACUCCUACGGGAGGCAGCAGUGGGGAAUAUUGCACAAUGGGCGCAAGCCUGAUGCAGCGACGCCGCGUGAGGGAUGACGGCCUUCGGGUUGUAAACCUCUGUUAGCAGGGAAGAAGAGAGAUUGACGGUACCUGCAGAGAAAGUGCCGGCUAACUACGUG
This 471-nucleotide ribosomal RNA is filed under the name uncultured bacterium. RNAcentral's name for it is "partial 16S ribosomal RNA". It matches the Rfam family "Bacterial small subunit ribosomal RNA", at positions 28 to 507 of the family's 1533-position model. The record is from RNAcentral.